Mesocricetus auratus (golden hamster) is the source of this 725-nucleotide long non-coding RNA. RefSeq lists it as uncharacterized. Lineage: Eukaryota; Metazoa; Chordata; Mammalia; Rodentia; Cricetidae. The transcript is spliced from 2 exons. The record is from RefSeq and is a predicted model, not a curated record.
GAGGAGUUGCUCCAGGCUCGGGUGUGGGUGCAGCCUCUGGUCAGUGGCAAAGAAGGGGCCUUAUCGGAGCCCCAUCUUUAGGAAGGAUCAUUCUGCUCCAUGGAGGCCCUCGACAGCAGCCAGCACCAAGGGGACGUGUUACAACAUCGAAACUUUAUCACACUGAGAGACGGAGGAAGAGGCUCCUGGCAGGCAUCACUAAGCAGAGAAUCAACACUUUGCCUACAGCAGAGUUGUCCGGCCCCAGAGGCCACUGGUGCGGGAACGGAUGAGUGUCCACUGGGGUGCUUUCAGCUACUUCUGUCCCUGACAACAAACACAGCUUCCAUAACAGCAUCUCCUCUUCCUGCCAUCGCUUCAGGACUCCGGCUCACUCACCUCAUGGCCUCCUGUCUUUCAUUUGGGGAAAGGAAGUAAGCUGAAGCUCAGCAGUAGCUACCUAAUCCUGAUGACUGUGUGCCGGCAGAAGCCACCUUUAGAUAAGUCACUUUCCACUCAAAGGGGCCGUCAUCUGAGAAGAUUCAAUAAAAGGAGCUUUGGCGGUGCCCCCCCAAAAAACCACCAAAACAACAACAAAAAGUUUAUCACGAUAUUAAUCAGAAAGGGUUUUCUUGGCUUAGUUAAUGCGUCUCACUAAUCAAACACCAGAGGAAUGCGGUUGCUGCCUGUUGACCCUGGUAACUUGACACCACUAUGCUGUGUUAAAUUGAUAAAUCUGUCCAAAA